This 29-nucleotide non-coding RNA is filed under the name Drosophila virilis. Lineage: Eukaryota; Metazoa; Arthropoda; Insecta; Diptera; Drosophilidae. The record is from RNAcentral. RNAcentral also lists the same sequence under 1 other name.
UAGAUAGUCACAGCUGUGCUUUUCUUUGA